AACGCGAAGAACCUUACCUGGGCUCGAAGCGCAGUGGACCGGGGUAGAAAUAUCCCUUCCCCUUAAAAGGCUGCUGCGGAGGUGCUGCAUGGCUGUCGUCAGCUCGUGUCGUGAGAUGUUGGGUUAAGUCCCGCAACGAGCGCAACCCUUAUCCCUAGUUGCCAUCGGGUCAAGCCGGGCACUCUAGUGAAACUGCCUGGGAUAACCAGGAGGAAGGUGGGGAUGACGUCAAGUCCUCAUGGCCUUUAUGUCCAGGGCUACACACGUGCUACAAUGGUCGGUACAAACCGUCGCAAACCCGUGAGGGGGAGCUAAUCGGAAAAAGCCGACCUCAGUUCGGAUUGGAGUCUGCAACUCGACUCCAUGAAGCUGGAAUCGCUAGUAAUGCUAUAUCAGAACGAUAGCGUGAAUACGUUCCCGGGCCUUGUACACACCGACACGC
RNAcentral lists this ribosomal RNA (442 nucleotides) under uncultured bacterium. Its description in RNAcentral is "bacterial SSU rRNA". It matches the Rfam family "Bacterial small subunit ribosomal RNA", at positions 958 to 1398 of the family's 1533-position model. The record is from RNAcentral.